AGAGUUUGAUCAUGGCUCAGGAUGAACGCUAGCGGGAGGCCUAACACAUGCAAGUCGAACGGGAUCCAUGAGCAAUCGUGGUGAGAGUGGCGCACGGGUGAGUAACGCGUAUGCAACCUACCUUUAACAGAGGGAUAGCCCAUAGAAAUGUGGAUUAAUACCUCAUAGUUCUGAGAUUUCGCAUGGGAUUUCAGAUAAAGCUCCGGCGGUUAAAGAUGGGCAUGCGUGACAUUAGCUAGUUGGUAAGGUAACGGCUUACCAAGGCAACGAUGUCUAGGGGUUCUGAGAGGAUGAUCCCCCACACUGGUACUGAGACACGGACCAGACUCCUACGGGAGGCAGCAGUGAGGAAUAUUGGUCAAUGGGCGCAAGCCUGAACCAGCCAUCCCGCGUGAAGGAUGAAGGUCCUAUGGAUUGUAAACUUCUUUUAUACACCAAGAAAAACUCCCACGAGUGGGAGCCCGACGGUAGUGUAUGAAUAAGCAUCGGCUAACUCCGUGCCAGCAGCCGCGGUAAUACGGAGGAUGCAAGCGUUAUCCGGAUUCAUUGGGUUUAAAGGGUGCGUAGGCGGCUCUUUAAGUCAGUGGUGAAAUCCUGCCGCUUAACGGUAGAAUUGCCAUUGAUACUGAAGAGCUUGAGUACAGUUGAGGUAGGCGGAAUGUGUAGUGUAGCGGUGAAAUGCUUAGAUAUUACACAGAACACCGAUUGCGAAAGGCAGCUUACUAAACUGUUACUGACGCUGAUGCACGAAAGCGUGGGGAGCGAACAGGAUUAGAUACCCUGGUAGUCCACGCCGUAAACGAUGCUCACUCGCUGUAUGCGAUACACAGUAUGCGGCCAAGCGAAAGCAUUAAGUGAGCCACCUGGGGAGUACGAUCGCAAGGUUGAAACUCACUGGAAUUGACGG
This 907-nucleotide ribosomal RNA is filed under the name uncultured bacterium. Its description in RNAcentral is "bacterial SSU rRNA". It matches the Rfam family "Bacterial small subunit ribosomal RNA", at positions 8 to 916 of the family's 1533-position model. The record is from RNAcentral.